GACGAACGCUGGCGGCGUGCCUAAUACAUGCAAGUUGAGCGCUGAAGGUUGGUACUUGUACCGACUGGAUGAGCAGCGAACGGGUGAGUAACGCGUGGGGAAUCUGCCUUUGAGCGGGGGACAACAUUUGGAAACGAAUGCUAAUACCGCAUAAAAACUUUAAACACAAGUUUUAAGUUUGAAAGAUGCAAUUGCAUCACUCAAAGAUGAUCCCGCGUUGUAUUAGCUAGUUGGUGAGGUAAAGGCUCACCAAGGCGAUGAUACAUAGCCGACCUGAGAGGGUGAUCGGCCACAUUGGGACUGAGACACGGCCCAAACUCCUACGGGAGGCAGCAGUAGGGAAUCUUCGGCAAUGGACGAAAGUCUGACCGAGCAACGCCGCGUGAGUGAAGAAGGUUUUCGGGUCGUAAAACUCUGUUGGUAGAGAAGAACGUUGGUGAGAGUGGAAAGCUCAUCAAGUGACGGUAACUACCCAGAAAGGGACGGCUAACUACGUG
Molecule: ribosomal RNA, 497 nt
Filed under: uncultured bacterium
Lineage: Bacteria
Description: partial 16S ribosomal RNA
Rfam family: Bacterial small subunit ribosomal RNA
Source: RNAcentral